AGUUCCGGGUUAUGGUCAAGCUACUAAGGGCGUACGGUGAAUGCCUUGGCGCCAGCAGUCGAUGAAGGGCGUGGUAAGCUGCGAAAAGCUUCGGGGAGCCGCAAACAGGCGUUGAUCCGAAGAUUCCCGAAUGGGGCAACCCACCUGGAGUCAUGUCCAGGUAUCCCCGGCUGAAUACAUAGGCCGGUGGAAGGCAACGCGGGGAAGUGAACCAUCUCAGUACCCGCAGGAACAGAAAACAACAGUGAUUCCGCUAGUAGCGGCGAGCGAACGCGGACAUAGCCCAAACCAUCGUGCUUGCACGGUGGGGUUGUAGGGCCGACCACUACGAGUUACCAAUCACUACCCUAGCCAAACCAUCUGGAAAGUUGGGCCAGAGCGGGUGACAGCCCCGUAGGCGAAAGGGUCAGUGACUCGGGUCGGUACCCUGAGUACCGCGGGACACGAGAAAUCCCGUGGGAAUCUGCGAGGACCAUCUCGCAAGGCUAAAUACUCGCUGGCGACCGAUAGUGAACCAGUACCGUGAGGGAAAGGUGAAAAGCACCCCUGUGAGGGGAGUGAAAUAGUACCUGCAACCGUAUGCCUACAAGCAGUGGGAGGGCUAUGGCCGGAGCGAUCCGGCAAUGCCUGACCGCGUGCCUUUUGCAUAAUGAGCCGGCUAGU
Molecule: ribosomal RNA, 663 nt
Filed under: uncultured Acidobacteriota bacterium
Lineage: Bacteria; Pseudomonadati; Acidobacteriota
Description: bacterial LSU rRNA
Rfam family: Bacterial large subunit ribosomal RNA
Source: RNAcentral